AUUGAACGCUGGCGGCAUGCUUUACACAUGCAAGUCGAACGGCAGCGCGGGCUUCGGCCUGGCGGCGAGUGGCGAACGGGUGAGUAAUGCAUCGGAACGUGCCCAGUAGUGGGGGAUAGCCCGGCGAAAGCCGGAUUAAUACCGCAUACGACCUGAGGGUGAAAGCGGGGGACCGAAAGGCCUCGCGCUAUUGGAGCGGCCGAUGUCGGAUUAGCUAGUUGGUGGGGUAAAGGCUUACCAAGGCGACGAUCCGUAGCUGGUCUGAGAGGACGACCAGCCACACUGGGACUGAGACACGGCCCAGACUCCUACGGGAGGCAGCAGUGGGGAAUUUUGGACAAUGGGGGCAACCCUGAUCCAGCCAUGCCGCGUGCGGGAAGAAGGCCUGCGGGUUGUAAACCGCUUUUGUUCGGGAAGAAAUCCUCUGGGCUAAUACCCCGGGGGGAUGACGGUACCGGAAGAAUAGGCACCGGCUAACUACGU
RNAcentral lists this ribosomal RNA (483 nucleotides) under uncultured bacterium. Its description in RNAcentral is "partial 16S ribosomal RNA". It matches the Rfam family "Bacterial small subunit ribosomal RNA", at positions 28 to 506 of the family's 1533-position model. The record is from RNAcentral.